This 253-nucleotide ribosomal RNA is filed under the name uncultured bacterium. Its description in RNAcentral is "partial 16S ribosomal RNA". It matches the Rfam family "Bacterial small subunit ribosomal RNA", at positions 524 to 776 of the family's 1533-position model. The record is from RNAcentral.
UACAGAGGUGUCAAGCGUUGCUCGGUGUCACUGGGCUUAAAGGGCGCGUAGGCUGUGCAGUACGGCUCGGGUGAAAUCCCUCGGCCCAACCGAGGAACUGCCCGGGCGACGGCUGCGCUGGACUGCAUCAGGGGCGGAUGGAACUCCCGGUGGAGCGGUGAAAUGCGUAGAUAUCGGGAGGAACGCCGGUGGCGAAAGCGAUCCGCUGGGGUGCAAGUGACGCUGAGGCGCGAAAGCCAGGGGAGCAAACGGG